Phascolarctos cinereus (koala) is the source of this 314-nucleotide non-coding RNA. NCBI's taxonomy places the organism in Eukaryota, Metazoa, Chordata, Mammalia, Diprotodontia, Phascolarctidae. The record is from RefSeq and is a predicted model, not a curated record.
UCCACUAACCUUGAUACUAUACAUGUUUCUUUUCUAAUCUUUAGCUAGAAAAACUGCUAAAGGCACUUAUGAUUCAGCUCCAUUUGGAGGGUGGGGGAAGGAGGAGAGAAGGCAAGUCACUCAGAAUCGAGGUGCAGCUCUGAGAAGGAUCUUGGACAAGCAAUAACUGCAGAAUGCGAAAUAAGAAAAUCAGUCACAUGGCUUAGGGAUGUCUAAAUGAAGAAGAGAAGACUUAGGAAGUGGUCUUCAAAUGACUGUUCUGCUGGCGCCAAAGGAAUGGAAAAUACAGAGUGUGCUUAGAACAGUGCCCGGCA